GAUGAACGCUGGCGGCGUGCCUAAUACAUGCAAGUCGAGCGAACAGACGAGGAGCUUGCUCCUCUGACGUUAGCGGCGGACGGGUGAGUAACACGUGGAUAACCUACCUAUAAGACUGGGAUAACUUCGGGAAACCGGAGCUAAUACCGGACAAUAUAUUGAACCGCAUGGUUCAAUAGUGAAAGACGGUUUUGCUGUCACUUAUAGAUGGAUCCGCGCCGCAUUAGCUGGUUGGUAAGGUAACGGCUUACCAAGGCAACGAUGCGUAGCCGACCUGAGAGGGGGAUCGGCCACACUGGAACUGAGACACGGUCCAGACUCCUACGGGAGGCAGCAGUAGGGAAUCUUCGGCAAUGGGGGAAAGCCUGACGGAGCAACGCCGCGUGGGUGAUGAAGGUCUUCGGAUCGUAAAACUCUGUUAUUAGGGAAGAACAAAUGUGUAAGUAACUAUGCACGUCUUGACGGUACCUAAUCAGAAAGCCACGGCUAACUACGUG
Molecule: ribosomal RNA, 497 nt
Filed under: uncultured bacterium
Lineage: Bacteria
Description: partial 16S ribosomal RNA
Rfam family: Bacterial small subunit ribosomal RNA
Source: RNAcentral